AGUGAACGCUGGCGGUAGGCCUAACACAUGCAAGUCGAACGGCAGCACAGUAAGAGCCUGCUCUUACGGGUGGCGAGUGGCGGACGGGUGAGGAAUACAUCGGAAUCUACUUUUUCGUGGGGGAUAACGUAGGGAAACUUACGCUAAUACCGCAUACGACCUACGGGUGAAAGCAGGGGAUCUUCGGACCUUGCGCGAUUGAAUGAGCCGAUGUCGGAUUAGUUAGUUGGCGGGGUAAAGGCCCACCAAGGCGACGAUCCGUAGCUGGUCUGAGAGGAUGAUCAGCCACACUGGAACUGAGACACGGUCCAGACUCCUACGGGAGGCAGCAGUGGGGAAUAUUGGACAAUGGGCGCAAGCCUGAUCCAGCCAUACCGCGUGGGUGAAGAAGGCCUUCGGGUUGUAAAGCCCUUUUGUUGGGAAAGAAAAGCAGCAGGUUAAUACCCCGCUGUUCUGACGGUACCCAAAGAAUAAGCACCGGCUAACUUCGUG
Molecule: ribosomal RNA, 492 nt
Filed under: uncultured bacterium
Lineage: Bacteria
Description: partial 16S ribosomal RNA
Rfam family: Bacterial small subunit ribosomal RNA
Source: RNAcentral